This 28-nucleotide non-coding RNA is filed under the name Rattus norvegicus (Norway rat). The record is from RNAcentral. Lineage: Eukaryota; Metazoa; Chordata; Mammalia; Rodentia; Muridae.
UACCCAGUUGUUUAGGUUUUGGAGGUGU